RNAcentral lists this transfer RNA (66 nucleotides) under Margattea bisignata. Its description in RNAcentral is "tRNA-Asp". Lineage: Eukaryota; Metazoa; Arthropoda; Insecta; Blattodea; Pseudophyllodromiidae. The record is from RNAcentral.
GAAAAUUUAGUUAAUUCAUAACAUCAAUUUGUCAAAUUGAAAUAAUCAAUUCAAUGAUAUUUUUCA